Non-coding RNA from Cinara cedri, 262 nucleotides. The record is from the annotation of a GenBank genome assembly. NCBI's taxonomy places the organism in Eukaryota, Metazoa, Arthropoda, Insecta, Hemiptera, Aphididae.
AUAUUGUAAUUUUAGAACGAGAUUCAAGUAUUUUAGACUCCGAUUGGAGCAAAGAAGCUUAUGGCUUUACAAAAAUAUUUUUUUUUUUUAUCUGUACGCAACUUUUCUACCAGAAAACUUGAUUGGAUUUCUACAUGUAGUACCUUUCCUGAAAGGAAAUCGGUGUGGGAAGGUAAUUUAAAUAGGAUAUUUUUCGAUUUUCCCAACAAAUGUGAUAAACCGGUUUAAAACAUGGGAGAACCAGGAAAAACGUAGGAAACUU